RNAcentral lists this ribosomal RNA (165 nucleotides) under uncultured bacterium. RNAcentral's name for it is "partial 16S rRNA". It matches the Rfam family "Bacterial small subunit ribosomal RNA", at positions 355 to 511 of the family's 1533-position model. The record is from RNAcentral.
UAGGGAAUCUUCCACAAUGGGACGAAAGUCUGAUGGAACAACGCCGCGUGAGUGAAGAAGGGUUUCGGCUCGUAAAACUCUGUUGUUAAAGAAGAACAUAUCUGAGAGUAACUGUUCAGGUAUUGACGGUAUUUAACCAGAAAGCCACGGCUAACUACGUGCCAC